RNAcentral lists this ribosomal RNA (481 nucleotides) under uncultured bacterium. RNAcentral describes it as "bacterial SSU rRNA". It matches the Rfam family "Bacterial small subunit ribosomal RNA", at positions 28 to 521 of the family's 1533-position model. The record is from RNAcentral.
GACGAACGCUGGCGGCAUGCCUAAUACAUGCAAGUCGAACGCGGCCAUCCGGUGCUUGCACUGGUGAAGCCGAGUGGCGAACGGGUGAGUAACACGUGAGAAACCUGCCCUGGAGUGGGGAAUAACUCGAAGAAAUUCGAGCUAAUACCGCAUACCUUCUCUUCACCGCAUGGUGAGUUGAAGAAAGAUUUAUCGCUCUAGGAGGGUCUCGCGGCCUAUCAGCUAGUUGGUGAGGUAAUGGCUCACCAAGGCAUCGACGGGUAGCUGGUCUGAGAGGACGAUCAGCCACACUGGGACUGAGACACGGCCCAGACUCCUACGGGAGGCAGCAGUAGGGAAUCUUGCGCAAUGGGCGAAAGCCUGACGCAGCAAUGCCGCGUGCGGGACGAAGGCCCUAGGGUCGUAAACCGCUUUCAGUAGGGACGAAAAUGACGGUACCUGCAGAAGAAGCUCCGGCCAACUACGUGCCAGCAGCCGCGGU